UAUUUUAAUUAGGCCACACACAUUCC
Molecule: non-coding RNA, 26 nt
Filed under: Mus musculus (house mouse)
Lineage: Eukaryota; Metazoa; Chordata; Mammalia; Rodentia; Muridae
Source: RNAcentral